AAGGCCUGUAAAAUUAUAAAAUACAUCUUCUGAAUGCAACCCAGAUGCUUUAAUUAAGCUAAAACCUC
This 68-nucleotide transfer RNA is filed under the name Gekko badenii (golden gecko). Its description in RNAcentral is "tRNA-Ala". The record is from RNAcentral. Lineage: Eukaryota; Metazoa; Chordata; Lepidosauria; Squamata; Gekkonidae.